GGUGAGUAAUACUUAGGAAUCUACCUAGUAGUGGGGGAUAGCUCGGGGAAACUCGAAUUAAUACCGCAUACGACCUACGGGAGAAAGGGGGCAGUUUACUGCUCUCGCUAUUAGAUGAGCCUAAGUCGGAUUAGCUAGUUGGUGGGGUAAAGGCCUACCAAGGCGACGAUCUGUAGCUGGUCUGAGAGGAUGAUCAGCCACACCGGGACUGAGACACGGCCCGGACUCCUACGGGAGGCAGCAGUGGGGAAUAUUGGACAAUGGGGGCAACCCUGAUCCAGCCAUGCCGCGUGUGUGAAGAAGGCCUUUUGGUUGUAAAGCACUUUAAGCAGUGAAGAAGACUCUAUGGUUAAUACCCAUAGACGAUGACAUUAGCUGCAGAAUAAGCACCGGCUAACUCUGUGCCAGCAGCCGCGGUAAUACAGAGGGUGCAAGCGUUAAUCGGAAUUACUGGGCGUAAAGCGAGCGUAGGUGGCUUGAUAAGUCAGAUGUGAAAGCCCCGGGCUUAACCUGGGAACGGCAUCUGAUACUGUUAGGCUAGAGUAGGUGAGAGGAAGGUAGAAUUCCAGGUGUAGCGGUGAAAUGCGUAGAGAUCUGGAGGAAUACCGAUGGCGAAGGCAGCCUUCUGGCAUCAUACUGACACUGAGGUUCGAAAGCGUGGGUAGCAAACAGGAUUAGAUACCCUGGUAGUCCACGCCGUAAACGAUGUCUACUAGUCGUUGGGGAACUUGAUUCCUUAGUGACGCAGCUAACGCAAUAAGUAGACCGCCUGGGGAGUACGGCCGCAAGGUUAAAACUCAGAUGAAUUGACGGGGGCCCGCACAAGCGGUGGAGCAUGUGGUUUAAUUCGAUGCAACGCGAAGAACCUUACCUGGUCUUGACAUAUCUAGAAUCCUGCAGAGAUGCGGGAGUGCCUUCGGGAAUUAGAAUACAGGUGCUGCAUGGCUGUCGUCAGCUCGUGUCGUGAGAUGUUGGGUUAAGUCCCGCAACGAGCGCAACCCUUGUCCUUAGUUACCAGCGGUUUGGCCGGGAACUCUAAGGAUACUGCCAGUGACAAACUGGAGGAAGGCGGGGACGACGUCAAGUCAUCAUGGGCCUUACGACCAGGGCUACCCCCGUGCUACAAUG
This 1128-nucleotide ribosomal RNA is filed under the name Psychrobacter faecalis. RNAcentral's name for it is "bacterial SSU rRNA". It matches the Rfam family "Bacterial small subunit ribosomal RNA", at positions 105 to 1232 of the family's 1533-position model. Lineage: Bacteria; Pseudomonadati; Pseudomonadota; Gammaproteobacteria; Moraxellales; Moraxellaceae. The record is from RNAcentral.